AUAUAUAGUAAUAAAUUGAUUAGAUUAUCAUGUCUCUGAGCUAUGCUGGUGUCUAUUAUAUUCACAUUCCUCACAACACUGUUUUCCCUUCUGAAGUGAACCUGAUUAUUGCUGCCUUAUUUUUAACAGCCCCACCCCUGCCUAGUUUUUAUAGGUUUUGUCCCCAAUCACUAUUUUUUCUCAUUCUAUUUGUGUGUCUACGCAUACACACACACACACACACACACACACACACACACACAAAUCAUUUGAUGUUUUCUCCUCUAGCUAAGGCCAAAGAGCCUAGGGAUGUUGUCUGAGGAAAGCCCUGAACAAGAAUAAACUUGUACUGUGUCCCAACAAGCAUUCCUCUGACCUUUGCAGCUUCCAUUGGGCACUUGUCCCAGUUUCAGAGUGGAGAUGCCCUAGGUCUGGCUGAAGCUGCAAAGACCUUUUGCAUAAGCAACCAUCUUGCUAUCAGUGACCUGAACAGAAAGAUGCUUCAGCUGAGAGCUAUGAGAUGUCAUUGAGCUUGGGUGAUAAAGGAAAUGCUCCGUUUUGAAAUCAUCUUAAAGUUUAAUUUGAUAAACCGGCAAAAUGGCGAAACACUGACAUUAAUGAGCAUUUUUGCAAAGGUUUUGUUUCAGAAUUACCCAUUCUUCAAAGUAGGCCAUCUUGACUUUGCAGACACAGAUCUGUCCAUGACCAUUCCUGGAUAUUUAAGUAUAGACUUCUUUGGUCAGCUUCCUGUUAAAUCAGCUUCACCCCGUCUUGACCUGGGCAAACUCCCUUGGUAAGCUGUUUCCUGAAUAAUGUCUGGUUUGAGUCACAUGCCCCUGUGGACCUACUGUCCUGACAAGUCCAUUGUGGCUUGUAUUGGCUCCUGGUAUUGUAUGAACUAGCUAUAUUUUUCUCACUUUGUUUUUGUUUGGUUGUGCAAACAAAUUAUAGAGUUGGGUCAGGCUGCUUUCCAAUGCCACUGCAAAGAGGAAAUGAGGAAGUGUCAUAUGAUGGAAGAAAAGGGGGAUAUUUAAUAUUUUUAGCUACUACUGUUUUCUUGUGGUAUUGAAACUGCUUAGGUGGUGGAACUAGCUCAGAUGUAGGCCUGUAGGUGGCUUUGGAUUUUUGUAAGAUACUUUAUUUCUCUCAGCCAAAUGCACAUAUUCCUCAGAGAGCAGAAAUGCACACAAAAACUGUUAUUCUGAA
Long non-coding RNA from Podarcis raffonei (Aeolian wall lizard), 1185 nucleotides. RefSeq lists it as uncharacterized. The record is from RefSeq and is a predicted model, not a curated record. NCBI's taxonomy places the organism in Eukaryota, Metazoa, Chordata, Lepidosauria, Squamata, Lacertidae. The transcript has 3 exons.